AUCAAUUAGGCCUGCUCCAUAUUCGUCCUUGAAGAAUUCGCGUUUCUGGCAAUCUUCACAGGUUAGUGAUCCUAAAAAAUUUAAAAUCUUUCCGGUAUGCAGCCUCAACCUUUUUGGACCUACUCUCACCUGUCAUAAUUGAGCCUGGAAUGCAGUAAGAUAUGACGAAUUAGUAAACAAAAAAAAUUGGGUAAUCCAAAGAAAAGAUUUCAAAUUUUUAAGUAUAGUUAAGUUGAGAAUGCCGAAAACAAGUUUCUGCUUUUUUUCCUCUGAGUUCACAUCAAUCUUCUCCCUCAUGAAAGACACACAUAACAAUCAUAAUCAAGAAGUAAUGAACAAGUUGAGAUAUUUCAAUGGAUUAUCACAGAUUAUUCCUACAUAUGAACAGCUGCGAAUAUAGAACUGAAAUGUCCAAUAGUAAAACAUGGUAUACCUGCAAGUUUCUAACGCUUUGUCCCUCCAAGGAAUCACACAUCCACAAGCUUCCAUGUAUUCAAGAAUGUGCUGAUGUAGUAAUGAUUACUAGGAUGUGCUUAGCUUCACUCUAGAAAAAUUUUGACAAGCCAAAAAAAGAGCUGAUGCAGAUUUUGCAUAUGGAGCAUGCCAAAUUAAUGCUUCCAAUGCCGUGAACCUGGUUUAGUGUAUGAUGCUACUGAAAUGAAAUUGACUACAUAAGAUUUUUAUGCGGUUAGGGCUAUAAUUCAAUGCUUCUACAACUCAUAACAGGGGAUAAUAGCAAGGGAUCUAAACUACCCUUCAUUUGCUCUCCAAGCCUCACACUCAGAUUCCAAUGUAUUUGAUAGUUUCAAGAGGACUGUCACAAAUGUUUGAUCCCCGAUGUCCACAUAUAAAGCUAUUGUGAGUUGUGACUGCUCCUCA
RNAcentral lists this long non-coding RNA (879 nucleotides) under Lotus japonicus. RNAcentral describes it as "long non-coding RNA (LJAP_LNC001893)". The record is from RNAcentral. Lineage: Eukaryota; Viridiplantae; Streptophyta; Magnoliopsida; Fabales; Fabaceae.